This is a non-coding RNA of Canis lupus familiaris (dog), 83 nucleotides long. The record is from Rfam. Lineage: Eukaryota; Metazoa; Chordata; Mammalia; Carnivora; Canidae.
GCCUGGGUGGCUCAGUGGUUGAGCAUCUGCCUUUGGUUCAGGUUGUGAUCUCAGGGUCCUGGGAUCAAGUCCCACAUCAGGCU